Molecule: ribosomal RNA, 445 nt
Filed under: uncultured bacterium
Lineage: Bacteria
Description: partial 16S ribosomal RNA
Rfam family: Bacterial small subunit ribosomal RNA
Source: RNAcentral
GUGAGGAAUAUUGGUCAAUGGGCGAGAGCCUGAACCAGCCAAGUCGCGUGAAGGAAGAAGGAUCUAUGGUUCGUAAACUUCUUUUGCAGGGGAAUAACGUGCGGGACGUGUCCUGUUUUGUAUGUACCCUGAGAAUAAGGAUCGGCUAACUCCGUGCCAGCAGCCGCGGUAAUACGGCGGAUACGAGCGUUAUCCGGAGUUAUUGGGUUUAAAGGGUGCGUAGGUGGUUUGAUAAGUCAGCGGUGAAAGUUUGCAGCUUAACUGUAAAAAUGCCGUUGAAACUGUCGGACUUGAGUGUAAAUGAGGUAGGCGGAAUGCGUGGUGUAGCGGUGAAAUGCAUAGAUAUCACGCAGAACUCCGAUUGCGAAGGCAGCUUACUAAGCUACAACUGACACUGAAGCACGAAAGCGUGGGGAUCAAACAGGAUUAGAAACCCGUGUAGUCC